RNAcentral lists this ribosomal RNA (492 nucleotides) under uncultured bacterium. RNAcentral describes it as "partial 16S ribosomal RNA". It matches the Rfam family "Bacterial small subunit ribosomal RNA", at positions 29 to 507 of the family's 1533-position model. The record is from RNAcentral.
AGUGAACGCUGGCGGUAGGCCUAACACAUGCAAGUCGAACGGCAGCACAGUAAGAGCUUGCUCUUACGGGUGGCGAGUGGCGGACGGGUGAGGAAUACAUCGGAAUCUACUUUUUCGUGGGGGAUAACGUAGGGAAACUUACGCUAAUACCGCAUACGACCUACGGGUGAAAGCAGGGGAUCUCCGGACCUUGCGCGAUUGAAUGAGCCGAUGUCGGACUAGCUAGUUGGCGGGGUAAAGGCCCACCAAGGCGACGAUCCGUAGCUGGUCUGAGAGGAUGAUCAGCCACACUGGAACUGAGACACGGUCCAGACUCCUACGGGAGGCAGCAGUGGGGAAUAUUGGACAAUGGGCGCAAGCCUGAUCCAGCCAUACCGCGUGGGUGAAGAAGGCCUUCGGGUUGUAAAGCCCUUUUGUUGGGAAAGAAAAGCAGCAGGUUAAUACCCCGCUGUUCUGACGGUACCCAAAGAAUAAGCACCGGCUAACUUCGUG